AACAACUAGGAAUGUCCAUGGAUAUGGAUAUCCGAAAUUUUCUUCAAACCGAACUCGAAUGAAAUGGAUAUAUUCGAUGCUAAAUGAAUAUGAAUAUUAAAAAUAGAAAUUUGACGGAUAUAAAUUCGGAUAUGAAUUUUGACUGUACCCGACCCGAACCCGAACCCGACCCAAACCGGAAUUUAUUUGUAUUAUAUAAUAUAUAUAUAUAUAAAAAUUUGAUGUUAUAUUUAAUUUGUAUUUUAAAAAUUUAGAUUUAAUAUAAUAUAUUUUGAAAUAUUGAAAAAAGAAAUAAUUGUUUCGGGUUUAAAUUUUUGGGUACAGGUUCGGUUCAGGUUUCGAAUUUUUGAUCGGGUUCGGAUUUGAAUAUCGAUUUUUAAAAUCCGUCGGGUUCGGAUUCGAGUUUGAGUCUCAGUUUUAGAAUCGGGUUCGGAUUCGGGUUUUUGAAAAUCCGCCUUGAAUCCGACCCGUUGAUAUAUCUACACACAACACUAAUUUCAAAACCUUAAAAUUUAAUUACGAGCCUCCUACAACCUUCUAAAAAUUUAUAUCUUUAAUUUUUUUUUUUACAUGUAAAUUUCGAGUUUUCUACCAUCUGCACUAAGGAAACAACC
RNAcentral lists this long non-coding RNA (614 nucleotides) under Ananas comosus (pineapple). RNAcentral describes it as "long non-coding RNA (ACOM_LNC006093)". Lineage: Eukaryota; Viridiplantae; Streptophyta; Magnoliopsida; Poales; Bromeliaceae. The record is from RNAcentral.